UAACUUAAGGAUCUUGUUAAAAUGUGGAUUCUGAUUCUGUAAGACUGGGGCCUAAGGUUCUGCAUUUCUAAUAAGUUCCCAUGUAAUGCCAGU
RNAcentral lists this microRNA precursor (93 nucleotides) under Dasypus novemcinctus (nine-banded armadillo). RNAcentral describes it as "miRNA (ENSDNOG00000030271.2)". The record is from RNAcentral. Lineage: Eukaryota; Metazoa; Chordata; Mammalia; Cingulata; Dasypodidae.